Molecule: ribosomal RNA, 447 nt
Filed under: uncultured bacterium
Lineage: Bacteria
Description: partial 16S ribosomal RNA
Rfam family: Bacterial small subunit ribosomal RNA
Source: RNAcentral
AACGAACGCUGGCGGCAGGCUUAACACAUGCAAGUCGAGCGCCCCGCAAGGGGAGCGGCAGACGGGUGAGUAACGCGUGGGAAUCUACCCAGCUCUACGGAACAACUCCGGGAAACUGGAGCUAAUACCGUAUACGUCCUUCGGGAGAAAGAUUUAUCGGAGUUGGAUGAGCCCGCGUUGGAUUAGCUAGUUGGUGGGGUAAUGGCCUACCAAGGCGACGAUCCAUAGCUGGUCUGAGAGGAUGAUCAGCCACACUGGGACUGAGACACGGCCCAGACUCCUACGGGAGGCAGCAGUGGGGAAUAUUGGACAAUGGGCGCAAGCCUGAUCCAGCCAUGCCGCGUGAGUGAUGAAGGCCCUAGGGUUGUAAAGCUCUUUCACCGGUGAAGAUAAUGACGGUAACCGGAGAAGAAGCCCCGGCCAACUUCGUGCCAGCCGCCGCCGUAA